UACGUAGGGUGCGAGCGUUGUCCGGAAUUAUUGGGCGUAAAGAGCUCGUAGGCGGUGUGUCACGUCGGCCGUGAAAACCUGCAGCUUAACUGUGGGCGUGCGGUCGAUACGGGCAUCACUGGAGUUCGGCAGGGGAGACUGGAAUUCCUGGUGUAGCGGUGAAAUGCGCAGAUAUCAGGAGGAACACCGGUGGCGAAGGCGGGUCUCUGGGCCGAAACUGACGCUGAGGAGCGAAAGCGUGGGGAGCGAACAGG
This 254-nucleotide ribosomal RNA is filed under the name uncultured bacterium. Its description in RNAcentral is "partial 16S ribosomal RNA". It matches the Rfam family "Bacterial small subunit ribosomal RNA", at positions 524 to 776 of the family's 1533-position model. The record is from RNAcentral.